This 484-nucleotide ribosomal RNA is filed under the name uncultured bacterium. RNAcentral's name for it is "partial 16S ribosomal RNA". It matches the Rfam family "Bacterial small subunit ribosomal RNA", at positions 30 to 507 of the family's 1533-position model. The record is from RNAcentral.
AUUGAACGCUGGCGGCAGGCCUAACACAUGCAAGUCGAGCGGAUGAAGGGAGCUUGCUCCUGGAUUCAGCGGCGGACGGGUGAGUAAUGCCUAGGAAUCUGCCUGGUAGUGGGGGAUAACGUCCGGAAACGGGCGCUAAUACCGCAUACGUCCUGAGGGAGAAAGUGGGGGAUCUUCGGACCUCACGCUAUCAGAUGAGCCUAGGUCGGAUUAGCUAGUUGGUGGGGUAAAGGCCUACCAAGGCGACGAUCCGUAACUGGUCUGAGAGGAUGAUCAGUCACACUGGAACUUAGACACGGUCCAGACUCCUACGGGAGGCAGCAGUGGGGAAUAUUGGACAAUGGGCGAAAGCCUGAUCCAGCCAUGCCGCGUGUGUGAAGAAGGUCUUCGGAUUGUAAAGCACUUUGAGUUGGGAGGAAGGGCAGUAAGUUAAUACCUUGCUGUUUUGACGUUACCAACAGAAUAAGCACCGGCUAACUUCGUG